CAAAUGACUCUCGGCAAUGGAUAUCUCGGCUCUUGCAUCGAUGAAGAACGUAGUGAAAUGCGAUACUUGGUGUGAAUUGCAGAAUCUCGUGAACCAUUGAGUCUUUGAACGCAAGUUGUGCCCGAGGCUUUGCCGAGGGCACGCCUGCUUGGGCGUCAUGG
This 161-nucleotide ribosomal RNA is filed under the name Alpinia sp. MA-2016. RNAcentral's name for it is "5.8S ribosomal RNA". It matches the Rfam family "5.8S ribosomal RNA". From Rfam's summary of the family: 5.8S ribosomal RNA (5.8S rRNA) is a component of the large subunit of the eukaryotic ribosome. It is transcribed by RNA polymerase I as part of the 45S precursor that also contains 18S and 28S rRNA. Lineage: Eukaryota; Viridiplantae; Streptophyta; Magnoliopsida; Zingiberales; Zingiberaceae. The record is from RNAcentral.